UACGUAGGGGGCAAGCGUUGUCCGGAAUCAUUGGGCGUAAAGAGCGUGUAGGCGGCCCGGUAAGUCCGCUGUGAAAGUCGAGGGCUCAACCCUCGAAUGCCGGCGGAUACUGUCGGGCUUGAGUCCGGAAGAGGCGAGUGGAAUUCCUGGUGGAGCGGUGAAAUGCGCAGAUAUCAGGAGGAACACCUACGGCGAAGGCAGCUCGCUGGGACGGUACUGACGCUGAGACGCGAAAGCGUGGGGAGCAAACAGG
Molecule: ribosomal RNA, 253 nt
Filed under: uncultured bacterium
Lineage: Bacteria
Description: partial 16S ribosomal RNA
Rfam family: Bacterial small subunit ribosomal RNA
Source: RNAcentral